UCAGGCCUAACACAUGCAAGUCGUACGAGGUGUAAAUAAUUCACUUGUGAAUUGUUUAUUACUACAGUGGCGCACGGGUGAGUAACACGUAAGAACCUGCCUUUUGGAGGGGGAUAACAUAGGGAAACCUUUGCUAUACCCCAUAAAGCUGAGGAGCUAAAUCGCAUUUGCGGCCAAGAGAGGGGCUUGCGCCUGAUUAGCUAGUUGGGGAGGUAAUGGCUUCCCAAGACCACGGUCAGUAGUUGGUCUGAGAGGAUGAUCAGCCACACUGGGACUGAGACACGGCCCAGACUCCUACGGGAGGCAGCAGUGAGGAAUUUCCCGCAAUGGGCGAAAGCCUGACGGAGCAAUACCGCGUGAAGGAAAAAGGAUCGUGGUCUGUAAACUUCUUUUCUCAGAGAAGAAGAU
Molecule: ribosomal RNA, 408 nt
Filed under: uncultured bacterium
Lineage: Bacteria
Description: bacterial SSU rRNA
Rfam family: Bacterial small subunit ribosomal RNA
Source: RNAcentral